This 39299-nucleotide long non-coding RNA is filed under the name Eucalyptus grandis. Its description in RNAcentral is "long non-coding RNA (EGRA_LNC000930)". The record is from RNAcentral. Lineage: Eukaryota; Viridiplantae; Streptophyta; Magnoliopsida; Myrtales; Myrtaceae.
UUGAGGUGAGGGCUUGUCCGAUGAAUGCCAGGUCUCAUGAUCACUUCACAGUUGGGAGGAAUUUCAACUAUUUUGUUAUAUAUAUCUACUGGCAAUGUGGCUGUCCCAAACAGAUACUGGGUGGCUACAGGUGAAGAAUUGAUUAUGCUUUGAAACGCUGCUUCAAACUCCUCAUCAUUGCAGAGUAUAUAUCCACCUCAUCCAAAAUCACGCUGCAUUGAAAAGCCAUAAAUUAUAGCAGUAGUUGCAAAACAAUCUGCAACGUGUAUAAAGAUACCAUUCUUAUAGAGCUCUUUGUUUGUAGCUUAGCAUGGACUCAAAUCUGCUAAAUGCCAAAAUCAUCCAGACUUUGAUGUCAUUCAAAUUCUUAGCAGGCAAAUCCAUUAUCAAAAGAUUUUUUAACUUCAUAUCCUAUAUCAAACAAUAGGACGAGUGGAGCUUUCUAAAUCUGUCAAUCGUCACCAGUCAUUUCUUGAGGAAAUCUAUCAGGGCUAACAAAUAGCAAUAUAUAUAGCAAUUUUGUAAAUCAAAGCAAAGGUCUCCAUAACUCAAGCCAGAAAAUCAAGAUUCAGCUAUGUAUAUGUAAGAAUAGAAAUUUUAUCAAUCUUUUCCUUUCCUCGAAGAAUGGUGAUGAAUCAUGGUGGCAGUACUAAAUCUAGAAUACAGUAGCACAAUCACAUUCGUUACUCAAAAACAGAUGAGAAGACAAUAAUUUUGAAUAGCUCACGCACCCAAACUUAUUUGUGCAACAUUAUACAGUGCAUAGGCUUACCAUCCAAGAUCUUUCGACUCCAAAAAGCCCUCUUUAAUGAGAAAAAUAAAGCGACUGGGUGUGGCUAUUAGGCAUCAAGACCUUCUAUAUUUUCCGGCUGAGUUUUUUUCCUGAAACCGCCCAUGGCAACCAUAGACCAGAAUGGAGCCCCAAACUUCGAUAUGGAUUGGCAGUUACUCAAAACCUGCAUAAAAUUUACUAUAGAUAUUAAGUAUCCUUAUGUGGGUCCAAAAAUUUAUGUUAGGUUUGUCAUCCACUACUAGCAAAAACAAGCAUUGCUAUACAUAAAACCAACUACAGAGUAUCUCCAAAUUCAGAACGCAUCCAUUUUCAACAGCUCUAAGGAGAUUACCAGUUUUGCCACAUGAGUGGAUUAUGCGCAUCUUUAAGCAACUGUGUGCCACUCAAAUUGUACAUUUGUCUUUCCAGAAACCCAGUACAAUCUAGAAAUCUCUUCUUUUUUAUUAUUUGAAAGAAGAGAUGACAUUUUGAGUAAAAUAGAUGACAAGUUGUCAAAAACACACUGACUGCCACCAAAAAUGAAUUGGAGUGCUUUUUUCAUCACAAAUUGGCUGCUUAAGCAAUAGCCUAUCAUAGUAUAAGAUGAGAGCUUAAAAUGGCCAUAAACUAGUAAAAGUCGGUGACUUGCUUGCCAAAGCACAUAAGGGCAAAAGAAAAGGCACAAGAAAGGAUACUAACUGCCAACCUGUGAAGCUAACUCAACAGCUAGCACCAAAAUGACAACUCGAGGGCUUCGUGAGAAUGAUUUGCUAAGUCCUUGCAGCUCUUCUUGCCUGAGACGUUGGACUACUGGUGCAAGAUAAGCAAGCGUUUUUCCUGAACCACUCUGAUCAGCUAUAUUACAAGUGUUUCCCUCAAUUACAGGUUUGAAUGCAAUCGCCGGCAGUCAUCAAUAGUUAGCAUCAAUCUGAGUUGCAGUACAUAAGGAGAAGUUCUUCCUUUUGUCAAAGAAUAGAUAGAACAUCUCAAUGCAAUUACUUAUCAAUACUUAUGCCAUUGAAAAGACAAAAACUGACGCUAUAGGUUGGCCCCUCAAUGACUUCCACAUCCAUCAGCUCCAAUUUCACAUUUACAGAUAAAAUAUGAAUGAUGACGAAUGCAAGCUUACAUCUAGAACUAUACAAAAACAAGGUCAUCAUUGAUUUGAAGCUCAAUGUGGAUAUUAUGAAGAUAGUAGAUAUAACGAUGAUUAGAAUGUGCUCACGUUUAUUACAUUGCCAGCUAAAACAGCAGUAAGGAAGCAAUGACCAAGUUCCUUCCAUUUUCCCAGCAGAAAAAGCAACAAGCUGAAACCUUUGACUUUGAGUAGGUCAUACUAUUGAUGUACCUGAAUAUGUGAGGGGCACAGAAAAUGCUGCUUCCUCAAAGAUUCAAUCAUAUAGUCACUACAACCCAAAUCUUCAAAGGACUUUCGACCAUGGAAGUCACUAUUGGAGGAAACUUUCCCUAUGCAAACUUAGAUCUUUCGAGUCAGAUCUAAAGUCAUCCAUGGACACACCCCCUGCCCCAUCCUCUGAAAUCUGCAUAAAAACUACGGACUGAAUGCUCUGUUCCAACUAUUCUGGUGGUAGAUAUGCCAUGUUUAUUGGGUUCCUUUCAGUGCACUGAACAAUCCAUAUCUUUUAUGUCCAUCCUUGCUGCAGCGUCUUUGGCAGCUUUGGAUUGGUGAGCACCUGAAUCCUUUCCUCCACGUCAAAGGAUAGCUGCUUCCUUCUGUUUCCCCAGUAGGUCCAAUUUAGAAAAAGAGAGAUCAGGCAUAUCAAGAGGUACACUUUCUACUACCGGUUCAUAAUCUUUGCGACUCGCUUGUUUUAGCUUGGAAGAUUUUUCAGCAAGAGAUUUGACUCUCAGCAAUUUCAGUCGUCCAAAACCUCUGCCUAGACCACUCACACUUGCUGUAGGAGAAUAUCAUCUUUCGGCAGGGUUGACCCAUGAUGAUUGCCUGUAUAAAAGAAAAAGAAGUGACUGUCAGACUACAUUUUAUCGCUGGAAAAACCAAAUUCAUCUCCAAGCUCUGACUUUACACAUUGCACAGAAGGAUUCAGUACGCUACAAGAAAGUCUUAGCACAGAUUGAAAUGGGAGAGAAAUUUCUAACUCUGUUUGCAUACAUUCGUUUUCAAGCCAACCUAAGAAAACCAAAAAUCAUUUACCCAAGACUGUAUGAUUCAGAUAAGCUCCGAAAGAAAAUCUAAUGUUGGAUUUGUUAUCCUCCAUCUGAAUACAAUGCAUAUAACAAAUCACUGGCAUCGUUACAAGAGCUUAGAUACCAAUUAUCAACAAUGCAAGCACAAAAAAGAAAGAAAAGCUCCAACAAAUAAGAAAGGAAUUCGUAAUCAGAACCGACUGCAUCAGUCAUUCCGACUUGCACAUUCACAUCAAACACGUCUACACUCAAAUGCAAACUACGCAAGUUAACAGCUCAAUUACAGAGAUAAAUCCAAUCCUACCAUCUCGUCGUCAAUCGGCUGGUAGGCCCCCGCCCGAGUCUCCGAGGGCCAAGGCUCAGACAUAAGAAAUACCAAAUCUCUUCCAUGUAGAAUAUUCGAAUCCGAAUCCCUUUUCUCAAGUAAUUGACUUGGAGGAGUCAUUACCCAAUGUGACUUUCGGGAUUUCGUAGAUGAGGGGCCAAUAGCAGCCGGUCCCUUUCCUGCAUCGCUUCUCCAGAAUCCCACAUCCUGAGAUCCAGAGUAGUUCUAGGGAGGGAGGGAGGCGAUCCUGGGGUAACUCCCUCAGCUUCGGGCAAUUCUGGAUGUACAAGGACCGGAGAGAGGGAGGGAGACUGGUGAACAGUCUUUCCACGUUCUUCAUGCCACAGAUAUAGAGAGAGGUCAGAGAGGAAGGGAGCGGAAGCACAAGUUCCUCCUCCUCUCCCACUCCUCCCACGCUGCCAUCCAUGAUCAGAUCUUGAAGGGAGGUGAGGGGGGUAAGCCACUCCCUCAUCGGCUGCUUCAUAUUCUCGCAUCUAGACACCUGAAGGAACUCUAGCUGGGGCGGCAAUCCUCCAUCGGGGAAGCGCGUAAUACUCUCACACCCAUUAAUUACCAGAUGUCGGAGACUUGUGAGUAGAUGCAACUUAUUAGGUAACGAUUUUAUCUUUGGACAAUCCCCAAGCCAAAAAGCCGAGAUGCUGGGAGGAAGAGGAGGGAAGCACUCCAGCUCUAGUGCAGGACACUCCCACAAAAACAAGAAAGUGAGAUGGGACAAUGUGUGCAGCCCCUGUGGUAAGCUUCUCAAAUUCGUACAAGAUAUAAUUUUAAUCUCUUUAAGCGACUGAAGACGGUCCACAAGUAUCUCCGCAAGUGACUCCACUCCCCCACACGACUCAAUUUCAAGUGUCUUGAGGGUUGCUGGUAAAAAUCUAUUCUCGCUGAAUAAAGAGGCCGAUAGAGAAUCGCAUCAGUACAUUUUUAAAUUUUGCAAACGAAACGUCAUAUCACUGUGGUUAUUGCUACUUGGUUCAUCCAUAUGAACACUUGAUCCUCCGGGUAAAGAUAGCAACAUCUUGCAAUAUCGGAUAUUUAAUGAUAUCACUGACGCCAAUAUACCUGUUUUGGGGAAGGACGGGAGUUUUGGACACUCCUCGAUGGUCAAGUCUUGAAGCGAGGAGAGGGUAUAAAUCAUGCUUGGGUGCUUCUCCAAAUUGAUGCAAUUUCGUGAGUCCAUAAUUUCCAGCUUGCUACGCAACUCUAUAUCUCCUUCUCCAACUGAAAAUGAUAUAAAUUCAGGACAACUUUUGACAACUAAGCUCUUCAGACAAGCCAAAUUCCGAAUUAUAUCUCUCUCUUGCCAUAAAUACAUCAAAUUUUUACAACUUAUCAUCUCCAACUUCUCCAACUUGACCAAGGAGUUUGUAAACCCAUAAUUUAAGCAAGUUAAUUCAAGUACAUCUUGCAUGACAAGAGAAGUUAGAGAUGUCAAGUUUACCAAACUCUUCAGCACGCCCUCAUUACAAUCUCUAAAGUUUAAUUCAUUGAGGGAUGGAAGGCUAAUGAUAGAGGACAAGGCAUCUAUAAGCGGACAAGAGUUGAUUUCCAGCUUUUUGAGAGAGCUCAACUGACUAGGCAAUCUUCCGAUCAAUAUAGGACAAUCCCGAAUGACCAGAUGCUCAAGACAAGGGAAUAAAACUCUUACUUCUUCAUCGUCGAAGCAAUAAGACCAGUCCUCCCACGAUGGCAUGUCCUUGAAUUCUAAAGUCAUUAAGGAUGGAAAAGGACUUUUAGUUCCAUAAAAUUCAGACCCUACUGUGUGUAUUGCAUUUAGACCUUCGAUGUACAAUUCUUUUAGAGAAGAUAGCUGUCCCAAUGAGGCUAGCGCAUUGGCCCGACAACACCCAUGUAAACGUAAAUGCACAAUCUUAACAUAUGAGGGACUUCCUAACCAUGAUGGAAAUUCUAAGCUACCAUAGUAGGAUAUUGUGAGAUUUUCAAGUUUUGGGUGAGGGCGAAGAAAGUCAAGGACUUUUGCUUCAAGCUCUUCAUUCCGGAAAUUUCCAAAAUCUUCGCACCAUUGCAUGGUCAACCGGCAUAUUCCCUCCUUCAUGCAUAAAUCGGCAUCUGUGGCAUCCCCGGCUUCUGGAAUCUUAUGCAAAUUAGAGAUGCAUAAUUCCCCUCCAAGAUUCUUUAGGUUUUUCAACUCCUUCAAUCUUGACCCUAUUUCCAUUCCCACUACAAAUUUGGACAGUAUCUCAAGACCCACCAAAUUACCUAUAUAUAGCGGCAUCGCUUUUAGGCUCGAAGUAUCGGUCAAGUCAAGAAAUUUUAGAUUCAUCAAUUUCUCCAUACCUUCCGGUAAUUCUAUAGGGUUUCGACAUCCUCGCAACAUCAAACUCUCUAGGUAGUACAAUGCAACAAUUGACUUUGGAAGCUUUUCGAUGUUAGAAUUCGACAAAUUGAGGUACCUUAGGUGUUUCAGUUUGCCAAUGCAAUCUGGUACCUCUCUAAUGUGAUAGUGACAUAAUGAAAGCACCCUCAAAAACUUCAAUUCGGAUAACAAGUCACAUAACACUUUCUUGGACAAAUGUGACUUAUCAUAAUACUUAGGUUGCUUCACUAAUGAUAUAAAGCUCCUAAGUCCCUUCAUUCCGUGAUAUAUCUUGAAUCUUUCUUGGACAAUGUGUGGGCUAGAAAUGAAUGAGGCAUGACGAGCCAAAAAUGCAUUAUUUUGAUCACCCUCGAAGUCAAAUGCCCCCGAGCUAAAAUAGGCUACACCAGCAACUAGCUUUGCAAGGUCACUCACAAGAUCAUGCAUCAAGAAUCGUGAUUCACUACUACUCAACUCUUGAAGUAAUGUUCUAGAUACUAACUCGUUAAAAAGUGUCAAACCUACAUUCCAAUGGCUUUCUCCUUCUUUUCUCUCCAACAAGCCCUCUGCAAUCCACCAGUGAAUCAACUCAUCUCGUUCAAUUUCAUAGUCGUUGGGAAAUAUAGCGCAGUAAGCAAAACAUCUCCUCAUAUUUGAAGGGAGAUGGAGGUAGCUAAGUUUCAAAGCCGGAAGGAUGUCAUUACUUUCUUGUGGGAGGUCCCAAAUUUUGCUAUUCAAUAUACCUUGCCACUCACGAGGACUAACUUUAAAGCUUAGUAGCCCAGCCAAAGUCUUCACAGCUAAUGGCAACCCUUGGCAUUUAUCCACUAUUUUCAUGCCUAAUACUUCAAGAUCAGGAUGAUGAUCGAAAUUUCUUGCUCCAAGAGCAUGAAAUGUGAACAAAGUCAUACAAGCAUCUUGUGACAACGGUUUGAGAGUAUAGGGUUGAGCACGGGCUAUUUCAGCAAUGCGGAAAUUACGAGUCGUGACAAUGAUCUUGCUUCCCUUUGCUCCCCAUUGAAAAGGCUUCAAGAGGAUAGUCCAGUUUCCAUAAUUCUCGUUCCAAACAUCAUCUAAAACAACAAGAAACUUCUUCCUUGCAAGGUGUUCCUUGAGCUUAUCUUGAAGCCAAUCCAGGUCCUUACCUUCACAAGACAAAUGGCCAGUGGUUGUCUCAAGGAUCUUCUUUGUAAUAGCAAGCACGUCGAAAUCAUCAGAAACGCAAGCCCAUGCUUUCACAUCGAAAUAGUCGGUGACUCUAUCAUCAUUGUAGACGUGCUGAGCCAGAGCCGUCUUCCCAAGACCCCCCAUCCCUACGAUGGGAAUCACUUUUGGAUCCACACAUGCCCUAUCAUUUUCUUCUUUGGUCAGUAAUUCAAGGAUCUCCUUUUUUUCGACCUCCCUGCUAACAAAACAAGGCUCAGGCAAAUUUGUAGUGUGAAGUGGCUUAUCCACUUGACGGUAUGCUGAUCGCUUCUCGUUAUUCUCUCUCAGGUGCAGAAUAUCUUUAUGAGUAAUGAUAUCCUUUAACCUGCUAUCCAUCUCUUCCAUCUUGGAUCUCAUUGUAUGGUCAAACAUAAAUGCUCUCGGGCUCAAUCUCAAGCAACAACUUUGAAGAAGGGAACGCACCUUGCUAGUGCCGGGUUUUGCCUCGGCGUUAUUUUCCACGGACUCUAUGGCAAACUUGUCUAGCAAGUCUUCAAUGUCGUAGGCCAAGUCCCUAAGAUUUUUGAGCCAUGAGUUCACCCCGAGAUCACCAUUCAGUUGCCUAUCCUCCGCAUCAUCCAACACUUGGUUGAUGGUGACCAGCAUCUCCUCCCAUUUUUUCAGCAGUAUAUCGAUACCCUUGCGCCGUGCAAAGUUGAGAAGCUCACGAGAGGCCAGCCUAUCAAACAGCACUUGAAGAAAGGCGCCAAGAAAGACCUCUGCGAUCGGCAUGGCUUGGUUCGCGAGCGACAGAGGAUUAAACGAGAGUGCCCGGAAGGGUCGAAACAAAGUGCAGAGGGCCGAGAGGAAACAAAAGUUCUUCCGUCCAGGACAAUAGGAUGAAAUGAUGGUGUGAAUCAAAGACUUUUUAAGCACUAAAGCGCUCUUUCUUUCUCGGAAGAAGCUGCCGUUGCAUUUCAUCUCGUCCUCAGUUGAUUUCAUUUCAUUUCUGUAGACUCAAUUUCUCGGAAGCAAAUUGGUCGGACGUGGGACCAAGUCUUGGCAUCAUCAGAGCCUCCAAAAGCUCAGAAGGUAAAAGAAGUGGAGCCCAUCUCCUGCCCAACCCCGGAACUUUUCUGCUCUAUUAUUGAUCGUCAGUUCUAUCUUCCCACUCACAUCACAUGAUUCCCAAUUGCACCCAUCCACCAUCUUCAUGCAUCACAUAGAUCAUGGCAUAACAGUUUCGUUGAUGCAGCCUUAUGAACCCCAUCACUUUAUAAAAAAGGAGAAGUUAUGACAUAAUUUUACUUUAUGUAGACCGGAUACUAUCGUAACCAUUGAGCAUACGGAUCUCAAUAUUAUUUCACGCCAUACGAGAGUUCAAUGCUUUGAAAACUCCAAAAUUAUGUGGUUGAUUGCUCAACAAGUAUCGAGAAAUACUUGUAAAAAAAUCGUACUUUAAUAAGGAUCAGAAAGGAAAAAAAAAGUGUUACUUUUAUUCAUUACUAUAACUGUUACCUAGAUUUGCUAUCUGAAAGAUACAGGAGGAAAAUCAAGCGGCCCUACAUCGAAUUUAAUUGUGGAACCGCCAAGCAACAAUGAUUAGAUUCAUAAAGAAACUUUCUUGUUUUAUUCGGUUCGCGGGAUCAGACAAAAUAUGCUUGUUGUUUUGUCCCAUGAAGAGUAGGGGUGAGCAGCAGUCUAGGGUCGACCUUGGACCUACCCUGGACCGGCCCAACCCUGCCGGUCCUGGUCCGGUUCUCAAGGGGACUGGGUCGGUCCUUGGUCCUAAAAUUCCAGGACCAACACUGUGCGGGUUGGUCCUCGGUCCUAAGAGUUUUGGGUCGGUCCAACCCUGGAUCAACCCUGUAUAUUAUAUUAUAUUAUAUUAAUAAUUCUUUUAUAUAUUCAAACCUAAGUAAAAUGUUUGUUAUAUUAUAUUAUAUUGAAAUGUUCUAUCAAUAGCACUAAUAGUAAUUUCAAUUUAAAACUUUUGUUGAGUAUUAAUCAUGUGUCGUUUGUUUUGCUUUCAGGUGUUUAGAAGUUCAAGUGAAUUAACAAGAUGUGAAGUUAUAUAUUCAUGGUUUAUAUUAAGUAUUUUGAACUUUUUAUGGUUUAAUUGUAUUUUACUAAUGAAUUUCAGAUGCACUUUGCUUUUCAAUUUAUGUCAGAUGGUAGAAGUUUUGAAGAGUAGAGUAGUAUUGUAGUUGCUACAGUGAUUUGCUAGUCAAGUGGUACGAAGCUCAUUUUUUGGUUGAGUGGACUCUACAUGAUCAAAUGCAGGAAAUUAUGAAUAUUAAAGAUAGAUGAUUACAGACUUUUCAUCUUGUCCCAUAUCUCGAUGAUCGUUUAGCAGGUACAAAAUUUAUAUAUUAUGUCAUCUUAAUUUGCUAAAUAUGUAUUGGUAUUUAUAAUUUAGUUGCACAAUGCCGCAUUGUCAAUGGAUGUGUAAUUUGAAUUUGUAGGUUUGUUUUUUAGGGAGUAUAAAAAAUAAGACGAAAAAAAUUAUCGAUCGGUCUCGGGUUGACCCUGAAACUAGACCGAACCCAUUGGGUCGGUCCGGUCCUUGGUCCUAGGCUCAAUAGGGUCGGUCAUCGGUCCUAAAAAUUGAGGACCGACACUGUAUGGGUUGGUCCUAGGGUUAGGGGGUGGCCCGGACCAACCCGGAUCAUGCUCACCCCUAAUGAAGAGAGGAACUGCUUAACUUCAAUAUGCCUCCAAGUAGACUUUGAUAUUGGGCUAUUCAUAGCCUAUUAUUAUAGUAUAUGAAAAUGGAUUCACUAGUGCUUAAGAAAUUGGCAGGUCCCUAGAUUACAACUUUUGAUUCCUUGGCUUCCGCGCGUCCUGUCAUAAUCACCCUUCUUUCUGGGAAAGGGGAACAGAGAGAGAAUGACUUUUGAUUCCUUUAUCCUCUCCUUCGCACAGUAAUUCUUGUCGUUUUCAUUGCUCUUUUGCACAAAUAAUCUAUUUAUGAGCCUCUCUCUCUCUCUCUCUCUCUCUCGCCAUGUAUGUUACUUUUCAAUUUUCUUUGCUAUUUUAUCUAUAAAUUAUAUAUUAUUAUCGUUCUUUCGAUGCUUUUGCACAUGGGGCCUGCAUCUAGGAAUGGUGAAGAGAGUAGGGAGAGAAUGGCGUUUGAUUCCUUCUUCCUCUCCUUCGCACAAUCCGUCUUGUUGUCGUCUCACUUCCUUGAACCAGCGAAAUACAAGGACGUCAAGAAAUAAUUGUUUAUGAAGAAAUUACAAGGCUCCUGCCGACAUGCAGUCCUAUUCUAAAUAAUGUGCACGCUCUUUAGGGUGAAGUGCACCCUCCUAAAAUUACCUCUACAAUUACGACAUUCAUUUGUUGAAUAAGCCCCUAUUUUUUAAUGCAUAACUACCAUUUUAUCUAGCGAUCUCAUUUUUCACAAGUAUCUAUCCUAGUCUAACGUUAAUAAGUUUAUAACCUAUACUUUUACAAUAUGGUCAUUCUCUUCUUAUUUUUAGAAUGAUGUCACUAAACUUUUCGGAAUCGGAAUUAAUAGGUUGGGCAAGUAACAUUAUGGCAUUAAUUGAUGGAAAAUAUUGGAAUUUGAUACCUAAACAAGUGAAAGUAUUGACUGUACAUGUUAUGAUGGCAAUCAUUGUAUUAGACCCUAAGGCACUUUUUAACAAACUCCUUAUUUGGCAAAUUGAAUCACUCGAAGGAAUGCUUUAAAGUGUAUUGUGAUCCCAGUUAACCAAAUAACUAGGCCUAACUGGAAUUUAUUGCGUUGGUGUAAGCAUAAUUUAUGACAUUGGUGACAAGUGGUAUGCCCCUUUUUUAUUCUUAUUUUGCACAUUGCAAUUCAUUGUGUAUAUCACUUUCUAAAUAAUUAUGAAAAAUAUAAUCUUUACAGCCGAUCGGUGUUAAGAAGUUGAAAUCAAGAAGGCAUUAAUUAUUUUUAAAGAGAUUUCAAAUACAGAAACCACUUGUUUAUUGGCAUGGCUUAUAGAAGUUUAUCUUUCCACUUGCAUUCACGAUCCUAAUAUUUUAUGGUAUUCUUUUUUGUGCAUGCUUGAGUGCUAUGUUUUUUUCAUUUUUGCAGCAUCAUGAGAUGGUGGAAACGAAGGAAGUAGCAAGGCCGAGACUAGCAGCAUAGUCUUAUGUUAGUCCUUUUUUUUGGGGGUGAUUUCGAACAUAUGUAAGCUCACUCAAACACAAAGUUGAAAAUAAGAGUAAAUCUCUCUUGAAAGGAUCCACAUUAAAAGCAAACUUAGCUAAACCAUGAACGGAUAUAUUACAUUUCCUUCCAUUGUUUACACCUAUAUAAGAGGACACCGAUACCCUACCUUAUUGGGGAGAAGCUCUAAGCACCACUAAACAUGCUUUUGCGUCAGCCUAAUCAUCCUUCCUCCUCCUCUUAUUCUUCAGCAUGUGUUUUUUUUUCAUCUCUCUCUCUCUCUCCCUCUCUCUUUUCGUUUGUUGGCCUUCUCUUGUAGUUUUCUCGCUCUUUCUUUCUCGGAAGACGCUGCCGUUGCAUUUCAUCUCAUCUCGUUUGAUUUUUAAUUUCAUUUCUGUUGCCUCAAUUUCUCGGAAGCAAGUUGGUCGGAGAUGGGGACCAAGUCUCGGCCACAUUAAAGCCGCCAAAGAAGGCUUGGAAUGUUCAGUACUGGACCCGAAACUACUGCUUUAUUAUCACUCCUCAGAUCUCUCUCAGCACUCGCAUCACACAAAGUCCCAACCAUCCAUCAUCAUCAUGCAUUACAUAGAUCAUGUGGCAUCAUGAUUUCAUUGUCGAACAGUGCGGACCACCUGCUUGUUGUAAGUGUGAAGCCUUCUACUGUUAUUGCACAUGCCCACAAGGAGGGAGUUUCACAGGAGAUCUCGAGGGUAACGGAAAUGGGGGUAGGAAGCUCCUUGAAAGGAAAUGAAAAUUGAUAAGUCUCUUAUUACGUCAAAAUAAAUAUUUACCUGUUGUUGCGUCUCUCUCUCUCUCUCUCUCUCUCUCUCCCCGCGUGCGUCCGUGAAAGAGAGUUGAAAGAUGGCCUGUGUUGAUCGAAAAAGAAGCGAGUCAGGACCAGUGGCCAAACGCAGUCUAUAUAAAGCAUUUUCGUAAAUUAAAAUAGGUCCUCAAUUGAUUCUUUUUUCUUGCAAGAUUAUGGGAAACUGACCCCAUAGUUAUUUUUUCCUCUCUAGCUGAGAACUAUUCAAUUCAGAACAACAAUAUGGGGCUGCUGGGAGGAAAAUAAAUUUCGACUUAAAAAAGUAAGUUUUUUUAAAGAAAGAAAAUACAUCAGUAUAAAAAUUAACAUACAAUAUCUAUAUAUUCAAUAAUCCAAUUCGGUUGGUUAUUAUUAAAUAAUCAAUCUCUUAACAGUAUGAUGAUAUCACACAAUAUAAAUUAUGUACAUUGGGAUAAAUGAUUAUUGUUACAUAAGAAAGUAAAUUUCACCAUAGUAGACGAUAUGGAUCAUGAAAAAGUGCUAAAUGCAGGAUGAAAUUUUUUAUGGCAAUUUUUUCAUUGCGAAGUGCACAUUAAAACUUUUUAACAGUAUUUCCUUUUAAUCAGGACAAAAUCACUAAAAUUUAAUGGCUAAUUUUGUGUGAAGGACUUAUUAAAGUUAGCUGUCAGGCAGAUAAAUUCUUAUAUAUAUAUUUUAGUCAGUACAUAAAUUCUUAUAUUUAGUGAGUGGUUUACCACACACAUCUUGAGAGAGGAAUGGGCUUAUCAUAGUACAUUAAAGAUUUGUCAUGCAAUCAUUUCUGUUCACAUAGGCCUGAUGGGAAUUACAAACUUCCCAUGUUCUUUCGACAACUCUGAUGGUUACGCGCAUAACAUACCCUUUUAGCCUCCUUCAACAAAUCCACUUGAAUGGAUAGACAACUCAAGUUUGCAUAGUUUUUCAGAAUGAUAAUUAUGUUGCAAAAUGGCAUAUGGGCUAUAAGAUUGACUACUGAGGUCAUGGAGGUUAUUGUUGGGAAUAUUAUUUUCCUAAUAAGGAAAAUGCGUUGGGAUCAAUUCAAUAAGCAAAGUUACCUAUACACAUAUUUGAAUGCAUCUGCCCCGUUGCCGUGGAUGCAAAUAGGUUAAAUUGCUCUAGCUACCUUCAAUCGAACUCAAAAAGCACAAAAUCACUAAAUUGUUUGGUCAUAACGAUUGGUGUAAGAUUUGCACCACAAAACAUGUUUCCCAUACUGAAAUGAAAAGGGAUAAUGGAAUAAACAGCAAUGUUUCAUUUCAGCUAUGUAGACCGGAUCAUCAUUAAACAUCGAUCAUAUGCGUGCCAGCCACCAUUCCAUUGUAACACGAAAGCCCGACGCAUUGAAAGCCACAAAAUUUUCGUAGUUGAUUGCUCAGCGAGUGUCCAAAAACGCUUGAUGGCAAAACCAUUUUUAAAUGAUGACCAGAAAGGGAAAAAAAUGAUUACUUUCUCUUUAAUUAUGUCAUCGUCACCUAGACAUGCUCUUUGAAGAAUACACAAUCUGAUAGAUUAGAUGGAAAAAAAACCAAGUGGCUAUAGAUCAAAUUAAAUUGGAAGCCUUCAAGCUUCCAUUUGUUUCUUUUUCCCUAUUUGCCAAGCAACAAUGAUUAUAUUCAUAGCAAAGCUUCCUUGUUUUAUUUGGUCCAUGGGUCAAAAAUAAUAUGCUUAUUGUUUUGUCCCAGGAAGAGAAGAGCUACCUAACUUCAAUAUGCCCACCAGCCAUUCAAAUAGAUGGAAUUUGAUAUAUACUUAUGCAUGCUCUAUUAUUAUAUUUGUGUAUAGAUGUUACAUUAGUGGUACAAAAAUAACUGAAUCCCUAAACCAUAGAUUUUGCUAAGGCAUCACAUAAAAAAAAUAAAAUAAUAAUAAUAAUAAUCGAUGCGGGGAGUGCACUCUCAAGAUGUCUUGGGAAGGUGGACUGAUUGAAGCCUGGGAAAGUUAAUUUAUACACCACUUGGCCGCUAAAUAUGAAAAGAAAAUAAUAUUGAUAAAUAGUUCAUGGGUCUCAAGGUCAAAUAAAAUUAGAAAUUUCAAAGCUGCAAUAUCAAAUAAGAUAUGCAUAUGUUAAAUUAGGAGAACGGUGAGAGUACCUAACCACGAUCCGUCCAUCAACUAAAUUUUCAUUAACGUGGACAAAUCAAUAAAAAAAAAUCAAUAAUUUUAAUCAAUUAUGCCCUAUUAAAACGGGUGUCAAAAGACAUUUGUUUCUAGAGAAAUUACAAGUCCUCGUUGAAAUGCAUUUCUAUUCUAGAGAAGGGGCAUUCUCUUUUGGAUAAAAUGCACCCUCUUCACCAAGAGUUGCGUACUUUUUAAGGUAAAGUACAUGCGUUUUGCUCUCAUUCAGGUCAAGCUCACAUUCGUUAAAGUUCAAGCGUAUGCUUCUUUGGUAUUUAAAACACGGCAUGUAAUGGCUUGUGUGCACAGGCCCUAGAAAAGCCAACAAAGGAACAAAGGAGAGCAAUUGCUUCAUGUCUGAAUUUACAUUGAAGUUUCCUACUGGUCUUCGUCAUUGCUUCGUGCCUGAAUUUACAUUGAAGUUUCCUACUAGUCUUCGUUGACUCGAUGCUUAGAAAAGAUCCAGGGAAAAACUGCCUUCUACCUUUCUAGAAGCUCUAAUGGUUAAAUAAUUGACACAUAAAGGAGAAAUUGUAUGUAUGUAUUAUUCUAAUUUUUCAUUAGGCUAGGUGCAAAAUACUUGAUUAUCAAUUAGAUAUUUCAACCAUGUCUAAAUCCACUUCAUACCUGACUCAUCAAGGUAGUAGGGUACUCUAUGAAUUUAGAAUUUACCUAGGUAAGGGAGCUUUCUCGCGGUCAAGACAAAAAAAUUCAUAGCAAAUAAUUUUUUAUGGAAAAUUAUUAAAGAUAAGUGUAAUUAAGGAUAAACUUUUUGUGGCUUGUCUGUGGAAAAUUGUGAACUGUUGUUGUUUAACGCCCAAAUUCUUGUUAGGAGUAGGGGUGAGCAUGAUCCAGGUUGGUUCGGGCCACCCCCUAACCCUAGGACCUACCCGUACAGUGUUGGUCCUCAAUUUUUAGGACCGAGGACCAACCCUAUUAAGCCUGGGACCAAGGACUGGACCGAUCCAAUGGGUUCGGUAUGGUUCCAGAGUCAAUCCGGGACCGAUCGAUAANNNNNNNNNNNNNNNNNNNNNNNNNNNNNNNNNNNNNNNNNNNNNNNNNNNNNNNNNNNNNNNNNNNNNNNNNNNNNNNNNNNNNNNNNNNNNNNNNNNNCUCUCUCUCUCUCUCUCUCUCCAUAUAUAUUACUUUUCAAUUUCCUUUGCUAUUUUAUUUAUAGUUUGUACAUUACUAUUGUUGUCUUCUCGAGCUAGACCACAACAGCACCCUCUCCGCACCUCUCAUCCUCAAAAUCACUCCUCACCCCAAACGAAACCGCACGAACCCAACUAAUGCCUGCACCGCACCAAUCGGUUCCGAGCAGAGACUCCCCAAGCGUAUUUAUUCAAAAAUAGGCUACAUUAAUUUACAAACUUAAGAUGAAUGUUAUCAUCGUUUUGGUAAAUAAUUAUGAAUAUGGAAAAGGAAAAUUACCAUAAAUUCAAGUUGCAUGCUAUUUCUUAAAUGAAGUUACAAUUUACAAUAACUUAAAGUGAUUUAUUAUCAGUAAUUAUUAAUUGUCAAUCUUAAGCAAGGUAAGCUAUUGAUGGCUUUACGAAGUUGCAUUCUUUGAGGUAAUAAUGACGAGUGACGGCAUUCUUACUUUAAGAGCUCUAUAGCUAAGUUACUACUCCAAAAGGAAAAGCACUAGCUAUAGAUAAAUUGAGAGUAGGACUACUUGAGACAAAUUACUGUGUUUGGAGGUAUAAUCAUCAAAACUGUAUCGAGGAAAAAUUACAAUGUUGUUUGAUAAUUACUAGGCGCUAGCAUUAUAGAGAGUAUUAAGGAAAUUCACAAGGGGAAGUGAAGUUACUGACUAUAAUAAAUUACUGAUUACGACCAUUUGAGGAAGAUAACGGUAUUAUUGAAUAAUUACUAGUGUCAACAUUAAGAAGUUACGAAGACAAAGCAAUGUAAGAUUACUGAGGUCAAUAUCGAUUACAAGUUCCAUCUUUUGAGACAAUUUAGGAUAAGUUACUAUGCUGAGGUGAUCGAGAUUCUCACGGCACACAGUCUACGGCUAAACUAAUAUGUGAAAAAUAAAAAACAUUAACUCUAGGUGCAAUUCAAAUUAUGCCAAGACAGUUAAAUUUCAAUUACUACGUACAAGAACUAUAAAAUAUGACCUUUCUAGGGAAAUUAUAAUACCAUUGAAAAUCUCUUAAAACGAAGUCAUUUACCUUAGAGGAAGUACUUUAAUUUACCUUUGAAAUGAGUAAUUUAGCUUGCAAGUAAAGUUCAUAAAUCAGCUUAUUGUAUCGUAGAAGCAAAAUGAAGUAUGGAAAUUAUAUCUUGCGUUCGUAAAUUAAUUUCUUGUAUCAGAACGCUCAGUUACUUGCGACAGCAGGUCAUUUAAUAUAUUCAUGGCAUACAGCAGGGGAUACAAUCCUGUACUUUCCUAUCAUUGCAUAUUCAUUAUCAACAAAGUGCAACUUACAGACAAUACAGGCUCGGAGACUUCUUAAGUCGUCUCGAUCAGCAAGAGCAUCGAUGUUCCUCGACAAUGAACAGAACAAAGACCAAAGUAUAUAUGUUUCGAACCUUGAUAUAAAAAAAACUCUUCAUUGCAUUAACUCUUCUCGGAUCACCGUCAACAUGGAGAUGCACAAUGGAAGAACCAGAAUCUCACCAAACAGUGAUCCCCCUUUAUUUUCACUUCUUGCCACGCCAUUCCUCUGUCACAUGCAGGAAAAAAGAAUGGAGUGAUGGGAUCUAUUCCUGUCACUCCAAGCAUGAACUCGAUCCCGCUUGGUGCAUGAACGUCUCAACUCAGCAGCUCAUAAGCAGAGGGUAAAUCAUGCAAGGGAUGGCCUUUCCGGUUUCUCACCAUUAUUCUUCUUGCCAGGGAAUGCUUCCCAACUGCCAAGACUCCAGAACCUCUUGCUGUUCUUCCAACAUGGCGGACAUAUUCGCUCAGGUCGCACAGGAAGUUGAGGAGAAUAACAUGAUCCACUCUGGUAAAGCUGAUUCCUCGUGACGCCCUGCCAUAUGGUUCAAAAAUCAUCAGGAUCUUGCAAAUACUGAAGGAAAGAGGAGAGUGACUGUCUUAGGUAAAUUUGUAUGUGUCCAGUGACCCUGCCAAUAGUUAAAAGUGCCUGCCUUUUAUUUGACUGUGUCGCAAACAGUGCUGUUAAAAUCACUAGGCACUGUUAAGAGGCUCAGACCCCACGGUGCCUCAGGCGCUGGGCUGAACAAUGAGAGGUGCUAAGUAGAAAGUGGGGAUUAAUCCAUCACAAAACAAAUUAUUAGGUCUUUUCACACUUAGAAAUCACAAGUUAUUCGAGGUCUGCAUUGAAGCACAUAUUGCACUGGUGCAAGACGUUAACCUAGACAAAUCUUUUCUGAGGCAAUACCUCAGAGGAGCACCUCAUCUCAGGUGCUUACCUCAAACAAAGAAACCUUGCCUGAGAUGAGGUGAGGAGCAGAGGCUUCGCGUCGCUUUGCCUGAGCGCCUAGGUGAGUGCCUUGCUAGCACUCAGCUCUUGCCUAUCAAAGAAAUCGAACUGAGCCCAAUACCAGAAAACUUGUAAGUACAGGCCCAAUCAUUCACAAAACCCACAAGACAGAACAAGGCCUAUCCCCGCCAAUACUAUUUUCAUCUAGUUCUUGUUGAGACUGAAUAAUCAUUAAAUGUGCAAGCUUAAACUGAGAACUGAAGGCCUGGGUCUUGGCAGGCCAUGCAUGGUUUAACUAAAGGCUCACUAGGGAUCAAUCUCGGCCACAGAACAGAUCUAUCUCUAAAAGCAUAGUUUGAAUGGCAUCGGACAAAGCAACCAUACAUACCUGUCGGUGUAAACCAAAAACAAGGAGACAUCUUUAGAUGGAGAAGCAGAAAACUCUUUCAUAUUUGCCUGUAGUGACUUCUGAAACAGCAGCAUGAAAAGGUAGAACUUGGAUAAGAGUGCCUUCUCUGUAAAUUUGUUCAAUGCAUUUUCAACUUUCCAACAUGUGUCAAUCUGUAUAGAGAAGAGGAAGGAUGAAUUCAAAGUAAUGAUGAGUCCUCCAUCCAGCUGGUUUCAGAGCCUUCUCUCAAACUCCAGCUCAGGAGUUGAGGUGAAUGUAAUGAUGAGUCAAUUUCAAGCAGCCUAUACUGAAAAAUCAACAUACCUUGUUACAGAAAACAAUUGUUUUGGUUACUGGGCUUUCUUCCGCAAGCUGAAUAAGACCAGACUUCUUAUUCAGGUAUGCAGUAGUUGGAGUCUUUUCACCAUCUUCCUCUUUACAAUCUAUGAGAAACUGGACAUGACAUGUAACUGUCAAAUUCGCCUCUAUUACAGUGGUAUUCCAUUAGUUUUCUUCUUGACAGGAAAAUGGGAGGAAUGGAAACUAGUUAGCUCCCACGGCAAAUUUAUGUAACAUGUUCAUCAAGGGGAGAGGACAAAGCAAUUUCAUGUAACAGAAGAUUACUCUUCAACCCAAAUGAGAAAGCUCUCAGCCCAUCUAGGAUACUGUUGCGAAAAUAACCCUUCUCCAGUAUAUGCAGCCUAAAUUAGUUCGUACAAUACCUCUCUACAAAAUAUAUAUAUAUAUUAAGAUUCAACAAACUGGCAAAAUGAAAUUAAAACAAUUUUCCGGACAACUGCACAAACUCUUCUGCAAAUUGAGGAAAGAAGAGAAACAGAUCGGACCCUAAUAUAAUCCUCAAUCCUCUUGGCACAAUCAAUGAAAUUUCAGAGACUUCUCCUGAUUUUAUUUUUCUUCAACUCCAAGCAGAUUAAAUGACUUACAGAAUGCUGGAGGCACCUUUAGAUAGCAUAGACAGCUUUUUGGCCAAAAGAAUAGUAUAGACUACCAAUAAACAUGUGCUAAGAGUCAUUCAAGGAAAAAAAUUUCAUUCCACUCUUCAUCCACUUUCCAUCUUCCCUUGUCAAUAUGCAGUAACAAUCCACCCCCAAAUCCAAAGCAUCAACAUAAAAACUUGCUCCAUCACUUUUAGGGAGCACAAACUACAGCUUAGUUAUGAGUAAUAUAUUGUCCCAAAGCAUCCAGAAAAAUGUACAGACAUGGAAGUGAAUCCUUUUGUGCCUAGAUUAGAUAAUAGUAAUGUAUCCAUUGGCAAAUAAUGGAAAGGGGAAUAAUACAGCUUUAGACCAACCUCUUCAAGGUGAGGGCAUGUCCGAUGAAUGCCAGGUCCUAUGAUCACUUCACAGUUGAGAAGAAUUUCAACUAUUUCGUUAUAUAUAUCUACCUGUGCGGCGACAAGUAAAGAAUUGAUUAUGCUUUGAAACGCUGCUCCAAACUCCUCAUCAUAAAAGAUACUAUUCAUAGCAGCAGUUGCAAAACAAUCUGCAACAUGUAUAAAGAUACUAUUCUUAUAGAGCUCUUUGUUUGUAGCUUAGCAUGGACUCAAAUCUGCUAAAUGCCAAAAUCAUCCAGACUUUGAUGUCAUUCAAAUUCUUAGCAGGCAAAUCCAUUAGCAAAAGAUUUUUUAACUUCAUAUCUAUAUCAAACAAUAUGACGAGUGGAGCUUUCUCAAUUUGUCAAUUGUCACCAGUCAUUUCUUGAGGAAAUCUAUCAGGGCUAACAAAUGGCAAUAUAUAUAGCAAUUUUGUAAAUCAAAGCAAAGGUCUCCAUAACUCAAGCCAGAAAAUCAAGAUUCAGCUAUGUAUAUGUAAGAAUAGAAAUUUCGCUAAUAUUUUCCUUUCCUCGGAGAAUGGUGAUGAAUCAUGGUGGCAGUACUAAAUCUAGAAAACAGUAGCACAAUCACAUUCGUUACUCAAAAACAGAUGAGAAGACGAUAAUUUUGAAUAGCUCAUGCACCCAAACUUAUUUGUGCAACAUUAUACGAUGCAUAGGCUUACCAUCCAAGAUCUUUCGACUCCAAAAAGCCCUCUUUAACAAGAAAAAUAAAGCGACCAAGUGUGGCUAUUAGGCAUCAAGACCUUUUAUAUUUUCCAGCUGAGUUUUUUUCCUGAAACUGCCCAUGGCAACCAUAGACCAGAAUGGAGCCCCAAACUUCGAUAUGGAUUGGCAGUUACUCAAAACCUGCAUAAAAUUUACUAUAGAUAUUAAGUAUCGCUUAUGUGGAUGCAAAAAUUUAUGUUAGGUUUGUCAUCCACUACUGGCAAAAACAAGCAUUGCUAUACAUAAAACCAACUACAGAGUAUCUCCAAAUUCAGAACGCAUCCAUUUUCAACAGCUCCAAGGAGAUUACCAGUUUUGCCACAUGAGUGGAUUGUGCACAUCAUUAAGCAACUGUGUGCCACUCAAAUUGUAUAUUUGUCUUUCCAGAAACCCAGUACAAUCUUUCAGAUUGCAAGAAAUCUCUUCUUUUUUCUUAUUUGAAAGAAGAGAUGACAAUUUGAGUAAAAUAGACAAGUUGUCAAAAACACACUGACUGCCACCAAAAAUGAAUUGGAGUUCUUUUUUCACCACAAAUUGGCUGCUUAAGCAAUGGCCUAUCAUAGUAUAAAAUGAGAGUUUAAAAUGGCCAUAAACUAGUAAAAGUCAGUGACCUGCUUGCCAAAGCACAUAAGGGUAAAAGAAAAGGCACAAGAAAGGAUACUAACUGCCAACCUGUGAAGCUAACUCAACAACUAGCACCAAAAUGACAACUUAAGGGCUUCGUGAGAAUGAUUUGCUAAGUCCUUGCAGCUCUUCUUGCCUGACGUUGGACUACUGGUGCAAGAUAAGCGAGUGUUUUUCUUGAACCACUCUGAUCAGCUAUAUUACAAGUGUUUCCCUCAAUUACAGGUUUAUAUGCAAUCGCCUGGAGUCAUCAAUAGUUAGCAUCAAUCUGAGUUGCAGUACAUAAGGAGAAGUUCUUCCUUUUGUCAAAGAAUAGAUAGAACAUCUCAAUGCAAUUACUUAUCAAUACUUAUGCUAAUGAAAAGACAAAAACUGACGCUUUAGGUUGGCCCCUCAAUGACUUCCACAUCCAUCAGCUCCAAAUUCCAAUUUACAGAUAAAAUAUUAAUGAUGACGAAUGCAAGCUUACAUCUAGAACUAUACAAAAACAAGGUCAUCAUUGAUUUGAAGCUCAAUGUGGAUAUUAUGCAGACAGUAGAUAUAAUGAUGAUUAGAAAGUGCUCAUGUUUAUUACAUUGCCAGCUAAAACAGCAGUAAGGAAGCAAUGACCAAGUUCCUUCCAUUUUCCCAGCAGAAAAAGCAACAAGCUGAAACCUUACUUUGAGUAGGUCAUACUAUUGAUGUACCUGAAUAUGUGAGGGGCACAGAAAAUGCUGCUUCCUCAAAGAUUCAAUCAUAUACUCACUACAACCCAAAUCUUCAAAGGACUUUCGACCAUGGAAGUCACUAUUGGAGGAAACUUUCCUAUGCAAACUUAGAUCUUUCGAGUCAGAUCUAAAGUCAUCCAUGGACACCCCCCUGCCCCAUCCUCUGAAAUCUGCAUAAGAACUACAAACUGAACGCUUUGUUCCAAUUACUCUGGUGGUAGAUGUGCCAUGUUUAUUGGGUUCCUUUCAGUGCAGUGAACAAUCCAUAUCUUUUAUGUCUGUCCUUGCUGCAGCGUCUUUGGCAGCUUUGGAUUGGUAAGCACUUGAAUCCUUUCCUCCACGUCAAAGGAUAGCUGCUUCCUUCUGUUUCCCCAGUAGGUCCAAUUUAGAAAAAGAGAGAUUAGGCAUAUCAAGAGGUACACUUUCUACUACUGGUUCAUAAUCUUUGCGAUUCGCUUGUUUUAGCUUGGAAGAUUUUUCAGCAAGAGAUUUAACUCUCAGCAAUUUCAGUCGUCCAAAACAUCUGCCUAGACCACUCACACUUGCUGUAGGAGAAUAUCAUCUUUCGGCAGGGUUGACCCAUGAUGAUUGCCUGUAUAAAAGAAAAAGAAAUGACGGUCAGACUACAUUUUAUCGUAGGAAAAACCAAAUUCUUCUCCAAGCUCUGACUUUACACAUUGCACAGAGGGAUUCGGAACGCUACAAGAAAGUCUUAGCACAGAUUGAAAUGGGAGAGAAAUUUCUAACUCUGUUUGCAUACAUCUGUUUUCAAGGCAGCCUAAGAAAACCAAAAAAUCAUUUACCCAAGACUGUAUAAUUCAGAUAAGCUCCAAAAGAAAAUCUAAUGUUGGAUUUGUUAUCCUCCAUCUGAACACAAUGCGUAUAACAAAUCGUUGGAGUCGUUGCAAGAGCUUGGAUACCAAUUAUCAACAAUGCAAAAAAAAAAAAAAAAAACCAACAAGGAAUAGGGAAUUCGUCAUCAGAACCGACUGCAUCAGUCAUUCUGACUUGCACAUUCACAUCAAACACGUCUACAGUCAAAUGCGAACUACGCAAGUUAACAGCUCAAUUACAGAGAUAAAUCCAACCCUACCGUCUCGUCGUCAAUUGGCUGGUAGGCCCCCGCCCGAGUCUCCGAGGGCCAAGGCUCAGAUAUUAAAAAUACCCUAAUCUCUUCCAUGUUGAAUAUUCAAGAGUCCGAAUCCCUUUUCUCAAGUAAUUGACUUGGAGUCGUCAUCACCCAAUAUAACUUCUGGGAUUUCGCGGAUGAGGGGCCAAUAGUGGCCGGUCCCUUUCCUGCAUCGCUCCUCCAGAAUCUCACAUCCCGAGAUCCGGAGUUGACAUAGGGAGGGAAGGAGGCCAUCUUGGGGCAACUCCCUCAGCUUCGGGGCAACCCAAGAUAAAUAAGGUCUGGAGAGAGGGAGGGAGACUGGUGGACAUUCUUUCCACGUUCUUCAUGUCAAAGAUAUAGAGCUGGGACAGAGAGGAGGAAGGGAGCGGAAGCACAAGAUCCUCCUCCUCUCCCACUCCUCCCACGCUGCCGUCGAUCGCUAGAACUAGAAGGGAGGUGAGGGAGGUAAGCCACUCCUUCAUCGGCUGCUUCAUAUUCUCGCAUCCAAAUAAAAAAAGCACCUCUAACUGGAGUGGCAAUCCUUCAUCGGGGAAGCGCGUAAUACUCUCACACCCAUUAAUAUCCAGAUGUCGAAGACUCGUGAGUCGAUGCAAUUGAUUAGGUAACGAUUUUAUCUUCGGACAAUCCCCAAGCUCAAACGUCGAGAUGCCGGGAGGAAGAGGAGGGAAGCACUCCAGCUCUAGUGCAGGACACUCCCCCAAUGACAAGAAAGUGAGAUGGGACAAUGUGUGCAGCCCCUGUGGUAAGCUUCUCAAAUUUGUACAAGAUUUAAUUAUAAUCCUUUUAAGCGACUGAAGGCGGUCCACAUGUAUCUCCGCGAGCGACUCCAUUCCCCCACACGACUCAAUUUCAAGUGUCGUGAGGGUCGCAGGUACAAAUCUAUUCUCGCUGAAUGGAGAGACCGACGGAGAAGUGCAUUCGUAGAUAUUUGAAUUUUGCAAAUGAAACGUCAUGUCACUGUGGUUAUUGCUGCUUGGUUCAUCCAUAUGAACACUUGAUCCUCCAAAUAAAGAUAAUAACAUCUUGCAAUCUCGGAUAUUUAAUGAUAUCAUUGAUGCCAACAUACCUAUUUCAAGGAAGGACACAAGUUUUGGACACUCCUCAAUGGUCAAGUCUUGAAGAGAGGAGAGGGUAUAAAUCUUGCUUGGGUGCUUCUCUAGAUUGAUGCAAUUCCGCGAGUCCAUAGUCUCCAACUUGCUACACAACUCUAUAUCUCCUUCUCCAGUUGAAAAUGAUAUCAAUUCAUGACAACUUUUGAUAACUAAGCUCUUUAGACAAGCGAGAUUUUGAAUUACAUCUCUCUCUUGCCACAAGUAUAUCAAAUUUUUACAACUUUCCAUCUCCAACUUCUCCAGCUUCACUAAGGAGCUUGUAAACCCAUAAUUUAAACAAGUUAAUUCACUAACAUCUUGUAGGACAAGAGCAGUUAGAGAUGUCAAGUUUACCAAACUCUUCAACACUCCCUCAUUACAACCUCUAAAGUUUAAUUCAUUGAGGGAUGGAAGGCUAUAAAUAAAGGAUGAGGCAUCCAUACGAGGACAGGAGUUGAUUUCCAGCUUUCGGAGGGAGCUUAGUUGACUAGGCAAUCUUCCAAUCAACAUAGGACAAUCCCGAACAACCAGAUACUCAAGACAAGGGAAUAAAACUCCUAAUUCUUCAUUGCCGACGCAAUGAGACCAAUCCUCCCACAAUGGCAUGUCCUUGAAUUCCAAAGUCAUUAAGGAUGGAAAAGGAUUUUUAGUUUCAUAAAAUUCAGACCCUACCAUGCGUAUUGCAUUUAGACUUUCGAUGUACAAUUCUUUUAAAGAAGAUAAUUGUCCCAGUGAGGCUAAUGCUUUGGCCCGACAACACCCAUGUAAACGUAAAUGCACCAUAUUAAUAUAUGAGGGACUUCCUAACCAUGAUGAGAAUUCUAGGCCACCAUAGUAGGAUAUUGCGAGAUUUUCAAGAUUUGGGUGAGGGCGAAGAAAGUCAAGGACUUUUGCUUCAAGCUCUUCAUUUCGGAAAUUUCCAAAAUCUUUGCACCAUUGCAUGGUCAACUGGCAUAUUCCCUCCUUCAUGCAUAAAUUGGCAUCCAUGGCAUCUCUGGCUUCUCGUACCUUAUGCAAGUUUGAGAUGCACAAUUCCCCUCCAAGGUUCUUUAGGCUUUCUAACUCCUUCAACCUUGACCCUGCUUCCAUUCCCACUACAAAUUUGGAUAGCAUCUCAAGACCCACCAAAUUACCUAUAUAUUGCGGCAUCGCUUUUAGGCUCGGAGUGUCGGUAAAGUCGAGAAAUUUUAAAUUGAUUAGCUUCUCCACACCUUCUGGUAAUUCAGUAAGGUUUUGACAUCCUCGUAACAUCAAGGCUUCUAGGUAGUACAAUGCAACAAUUGACUUUGGAAGGGUUUCAAUGUCAGUAUAUGACAAAUUGAGGCACCUCAAGUGCCUCAGUUUGCCAAUGCAAUCCGGUACCUCUCUGAUGCGACAGUGACGUAAUGAAAGCACCCUCAAGUACUUCAAUUCGGAUAACAAGUCACCUAACACUUUCUCAGAUAAAUAAGUAGGUUGCUUUCUUAACGAUAUGAAGCUCCUAAGUCCUUUCAUUCCAUGAUACAUCUCGAAUAAUUCUGCGAUAAUUUGACGAUUGCAAAUGAAUGAGGCAUAACGAGCUAAAGAUGCAUUAUUUUGAUAAUCGUCAUAAUCAAACUCCUCAAAGCUAAAACAAGUUGCACCGGCAACUAGCUUUGCGAGGUCAUUCACAAGAUCAUGCAUCAAGAAUCGUGAUUCGUUGCUACUCAACUUUUGAAGUAACGAUCUAGAUACUAGCUCGUCAAAAACUUUCAAACCUGCAUUCCAAUAGUUCUUUCCUUCUUUUCCCUCCAACAAGCCCUCUGCAAUCCAGUAGUGAAUCAACUCAUCCCGUUCAAUUUCAUGAUCCUUGGGAAAUAUAGCGCAGUAAGCGAAACAUCUCUUCAAAUUUGAAGGGAGAUGGAGGUAGCUAAGUUUCAAGGCCGGAAGGAUAUCAUUACUUUCUUUUGGUAGAUCCCAAAUUUUGCUAUCCAAUAUAGCUUGCCAUUCAUGGGGACUAACUUUAAAGCUCAACAACCCAGCCAAAGUCUUCACGGCUAAUGGUAACCCUCGGCAUUUUUCCACUAUUUUCAUACCUAAUACUUCAAGAUUUGGAUGAUGAUCAAAAUUUCCCACUCCAAGAGCAUGAAAUGCAAACAAAGUCAUACAAGAAUCUUGUGACAACUCUUUGAGAAUAUAAGGUUGAGCACGGGCUAUUUCAGCAACGCGAAAACUACGAGUUGUGACAAUGACCUUGCUUCCCUUCACUCCCGAUUGAAAGGGCUUCAAGAGGAUAGUCCAGUUGCCAUAAUUCUCAUUCCAAACAUCGUCUAAAAUGACAAUAAACUUCUUCCCUGCAAGGUGUUCCCUGAGCUUACCAUGAAGCCAAUUCAGGUCCUUUCCUUCACAGGGCAAAUGGUCAUUCACUAUCUCAAGGAUCUUCUUUGUAAUAGCAAGCGCGUCAAAAUCAUCGGAAACACAAGCCCAUGCUUUCACAUUGAAAUAGUCGGUGACUCUAGCAUCAUUAUAGACUUGCUGAACCAAAGCCGUCUUCCCAAUACCCCCCAUCCCUACUAUGGGAAUCACUUUUAGAUCUGCACAUGUCCUAUCAUCUUCUUCUUCUUUGGUCAACAAUUCAAGGAUCUUCAUUUUUUCAACCUCCCUGCUAACAAAACAAGGCUCGGACAAACUUGUAGUGUGAAGCCGCUUAUCCACUCCUACGUAUGCCACUCGCUUCCCAUUGUUCUCUCUCAAGCUCAAAGUAUCUUUCUGAGUGAUGAUAUCCUUUAAUCUACCAUCCAUCUCUUCUAUCUUGGAUCUCAUUUUAUGAUCAAACAUAAAUGCUUUCAGGCUCAAGCUAAAGCAACAACUAGGAAGAAGGGAACGUGCCUUGCUAGUGCCGGGUUCUGCCUUGGACUUAUUUUUCACGGACUCCAUGGCGAACUCGUCAAGCAAGUCUUCGAUGUCAUAGACCAAGUUCCUGAGAUCUUUAAGCCACAACUUCACAUCGGGAUCGUCGGUGAGUUGCCUAUCCUCUGCAUCAUCCAACGCCUUGUUGAUGCUAAUCAACAUCUUCUCCCAUUUCUUCAGCAGCGUAUCUAUACCCUCGCGCCGCGCAAAGUUGAGAACCUCGUGAGAGGCCAACCUUUCGAAAAGCACCGAAAGAAAGGCGCCAAGAAAGAGCUCUGCGAUGGGCAUGGCUUGGCUCACGAGUGGCAGAGGAUUAAACAAGAGUGCUGAAAGGGUCGAAACAAAGUGCAGAAAGCGGAGAGGAAACAAAAGUUCUUCCGUCCAGGACAAUGAGAUGAAAUGAUGGUGUGAAUCAAAGACUUUUUAAGCACUAAAGCGCUCUUUCUUUCUCGGAAGAAGCUGCCGUAGCAUUUUUUUCCAUCUCUUCCUCGCUGAUUCCAUUUCAUUUCUGUGGACUCGAUUUCUCGGAAGCAAGUUGGUCGGAUGUGGGACCGAGUCUUGGCAUCAUUGAAGCCUCCAUGCAUCGAAAGUUCCAAAAAUUAUUCAGUUGAUUGCUCAACAAAUGUCCAGAAAUACUUGAUAAAAGAAAAAUCAUUUUUGACUAAUGGCUAGAAAGAAAAAAACCGUUGCUUUUCUUAAUUACUAUGGUUGCUACUUAGCUUCGCUCUCUGAAAAGUACAUUACGCGUUAGAUUAGCAGCCAAAUAUUGAGUGGGCAUAAAUCAAAUUAUAUUGCAAACUUUCAAGCACCAUUUUCUUUUUCCCUUUUAUAAUGAUUAUAUUCACACCAAAGCGUCCUCAUUUUAUUUAGUCCGUGCGUCAUUAAAAUAUGCUUACUGUUUUGCCAACCUAACUACAAUUCGUCCACGAGGUAAAUAUUUUAUCCAAAGAUGGACAAAUUGAUAAGUUUAAUUAAUUACAAGGUUUAAGCGGUGGUUCAAGAAGUGGGUUAGCCUGAGGACGCUGUUUAAGGGGGGUUUAAGAAAUGGGAGAGGACCUUAUGUGGAGUUGCAGAAGUUAUUCUCUAUCUGCCCUCUUUACCAUGUGCGGUUGCAGGCCUCGUGUGCUAAGCAUCGCAAGAAGGGGAGGUGAUUAUGGCAGGACAUGUGCGAAAGCCAGGGAAUCAAACUUUGAUAAUUCAUGUAUUACUUUUCUAUUUUCAUUGCUCUUUUUGAGCAAAUAAUUUAUUUAUUAAACGCCAUUCACUCUCUACCCUCUUCACCAUUCCCAGAUAGAGGCCCCAUGCGCAAAGCAUAGAAAGAAGGGUGAGCAUAUGGCAGGACAUGCGCAGAAGCCAAGGAAUCCAACUUUUAUAUUUCAUAUCUUACUUCCUAUUUUCAUUGCUCUUUUGUACAAAUAACUUAUUUUAAGCAAGGAAUCGAACUUUUAUAAUUCAUAUUUUACUCCCUGUUUUCAUUGCUCUUUUGUACAAAUAACUUAUUUAUUACUCUCUCUCUCUUUCUCUCUCUCUCCCCCCCCCCCUCCAUGUAUAUUACUUUUCGAUUUUCUUUGCUAAAUAAAAUUUUAGUUUACAUGUUGUUCUUUCGAUGUUUGAUCCCUUCUUCCACUCCUUCACACGGUACUUUUUGUUGUCUGGCCUCCGUUUCUCGAUGCCAAGAGAUAUUUGUUCAUAGCGAAAUUAUAAGGUCGUUGUUGAGAUGUUGUCCUAUCCUGAAUAAUGUGCAUGCUCUUUAGGGUGAAGUGCACUCGCCCCACAAUAAAGUGGUCACUUUUAUUAAAAGGAAGUGCAUGCUUCUCGUGAUAAUAUACCCUCUCAUUCAUAAGGAAAAAUUACCAAAAAAAAAAAAUUUGGACUUACUAUAAUUAUAUAAUCUCAGUCCUAAGUAUUUUAAUUUGGUCAAGAAACAGGUUUAGGACUAGUGCUCAAUCCAUGUUUAUCCUUCAACAGUGGUGGAAAGAUCUGAGAUUGUGGUGACUCUGACCAGUAAAGUAGACGCACUUUUUUUAUGGAUCACAUUUGCUAUACUUGCUAUUACUCGAUUGUUCAUAAGUCCACUAUUCUUGUCUUGAUUGAGGCGACGGGCUUCUUUGUUAUUUAACCUUUGGCUGGUGACGACUUGGAGCAAUCUGCUACCAAGCUUUCAGCUUCCCAGGUAAUUGACUGAUUUUUAGUUAAGGUCUUAACUAAGGUUAAGCUACGGUGGUCCAUAGUCCAUCCGCAUCUCUUCUUUCUAUCCUCGUCAUUCGGGUCUCUAGUCACUCUAAAACUCGGCCUAUGAUAAUUAAAUAUUCCAGAAAAAAGUUGCUGUGCUUUUUUUUUCUCCGCCGAUUGCUCCUUCGCACUCCCCUUCCUUCGUUCUUGUUUGCACUCGAAUCUCUACACCUUCUUAAUCUCUCAUCGUUGAUUUCAUUUGAUUUAAUUUAAUGGGAGCAAGUUGGUCAAUAAUGGCAUCCUGGUCUUGGCAUUAUUAAGGCUGCUCUCUCAAUUUCUUUCCCACUCAUUUUUUGUACCCACCCAUCAUCACCAUGCAUCACAUAGACAUAUUGGCAUCAUCGUCUCAUUGACGCGGUCUCGUACAUCGGUCAUAUAAGUCCCAACCAUUAUUCCAUAUUACAUGAGAACUCAAUGCAUUAAAAACUGUAUAAUUUACUUAGCUGGUCAUCAAGUGUCCAGAAAGACUAGUUAAUAAUUUUUUUUUAAAAUAAUGACUAAAAAAAUUGUUACUUUAUCUUCAUUACUGUCAUUGCUACCUAGUUUCGCUCUCUAAAAGAUACGUUAUGCAUUAGAUUAGUGGCAAAAAAUAGAGUGGUUUGGAAUCGAAUUAAAUUGCAAACCUUCUAACACCAUUUUCUAUUUUUCCCCUUUUAUAAUGAUUAUACCCAUAAUGAAGCUUUCUCAUUUUAUUUGGUCCGUGGGCUCAUAUUAAAAUAUGCUUAUUGUAUUGUCAGCCUAACUACAAUUCGUCCAACGGAUAAAUAUUUUAUCCAAAGAUGGCCAAAUUGAUAAAUUAAAUUAUUUAUAAGGUUCAAGGGGUAAGAAGUGAGUCAGCACGAGGAUGCGGUUCAAGGGGUGGUUCAAGAAAUGGGGGCCAGACAACAACAAGAAUUAUUGAGCGAGGAAGAGGAAGAAGGAAUCAAACGCCAUUCUCUCUCUACCCUCUUCAUUAUUGCCGGAUGCAGGUCCCAUGUGCAAAGCAUCGAAAGAAGGGUAAUUAUGGCAGGAUAUACGCGUAAGUCAAGGAAUCAAACUUUCAUAAUUCCCAUGGGGUCAUUGGUCUUCUGCAUAGAUAAUUUAUAUAUUACUCUCUCUCUCUCUCUCUCUCUCUCUCUCUCUCUCUCUCUCUAUCCAUGUAUAAUACUUUUCAAUUUUUUUUCUUUUAUUUAGAGUUCAUAUGUUAUUAUUGUUCUUCCCAUGCUUUGCACAUGGGACCUGCAUCUAGGAAUGGUGGAUAAGGUAGAGAGAGAAUGACGUUUGAUUCCGUCUUCCUCUCCUUCGCACAGUACUUCUUGUUGUCGUCUAGCCCCCAUACCUUGAACCAGCUAAGUACAUGACAUCAAGAGAUAAUUAUUUAUGAAGAAAUGACAAGGUUCCUAUCGAGAUGUAGUCUUAUUCUAAAUAAUGUGUAUGCUUUUUAGGGUGAAGUGCACCCUCCUCACAAUAAAUUGCUCACUCUUUUACGGUGAUUUGCACAAUCUUGUUCACAUCAAGUGCAUAAUCCUUAAAUGUCAAAGUGCAUUUCCUUCCUAGAGUUGAGUGAACACUCAUUAUAAUCAAGAGUGAACUCCUUCUGACAUCUGAAUUAAUAACGUGCCUCUUUUGAUGAGGAGCAUGUCUCUUAAGCAGGUUGAUGUUGAUGAGACACUCAUAAUGUUCCUAUUGUUCUAUCAAUUUAAUUUCGGAAUUCUCUAGGAAGUCAAUGUUUGCUUUCUAUUGUUGUAGGAACUUGAUAAUCUAAACUAGAUCUUGUCCAAUACAAUUAUUUGUGAAAUAGAGAUGAGAGUUUUCUAUUAUUUUAACCAUUGUUUGAAUUUCAGUGUAAGUUCCCACCUAAAAAAUCCUAAUUUAGAGCAAUUGACCCUUUUGUGCCUUGACUCAAAAUUGAAGCAAUGAACAUCUAUCUAGUGGUUGCAACUUAGCCUUUGAUGCUCUGUGCAGCCCCUGAUCCAUAAUCUGCUCUAACUCUAGGGAAGGCCACGAUUAAGAGUAAUCCCAUCCUCUCCUUUCCAACAAAUGGUCUCUUCUUGUACGGCUCUUUAGAUGAUAAAUAAAUGAUAAUGCUCUCCAGCAGAAUAUUAAAAAGUAUAGUUUGAUUGAUUGAUUGUUUAAACUGGAAUACUAUGCAUGUGUCAAACUUUUCUUAAUAUGCCGCAUAUGAUCCAUUUGUUUAAAGGUCUAUUUGUAGUAUGCUAUAUUACUUGGUGUAUCAAUCUAAUUGAUUGCUCCAAAAAUCAUCUAGCUUUGUCAUCUUUACAAAUGGAGAGCCCUAAUUAUCAUCAGUGAUAAAAGUUCGACAAAUUGGCUCAUUGUUCUUACUCUUUGAUAUUCUAUUCUCCUAUUUUUUCCAUAGCUUAAGUAGUUUAGACUCAAAGAUAUCCAUUCCAUUAACGAUAUGGUAUAGUGCAUAGCAAGGUUAAUCAUCCUUCAAACACGAAAUUGAACAUGAAAAAAUACAUAGGAUAUUCACAUCAAUCAAAUUCUUAUUUUUAAUCAAACAUUAGUUUAUUAAGACAACCAAAUACACCCAUAGUGGUCAAGUCAUUUACAUAGGAAGUUCAAAAAGGUCAAUUGAUAAUGAGAACAUGAUUAAAAUGCGACCAUUUUUUCAAAGUUCCAAUAUCAAAUGUUAGGAAUUUGAAGUUUUUAUCAUUUCUUGAAUUUAUUAUACUUAAUAGGGUAAGAUUGACUGUGAUUCCCAAUAAGGAUCCUAAUAUUUUAUGGUGUUCAUUAUUGUGCUUGAGUGCUAUGUUUUUCCCAUUGUUGCAGCAUCAUGAGAUGGUGGAAUUGAUUGUCUAUGAUAGGUACGCUAUUCAAGGAAGCAGCGGGGCCAAGACUGGGCAGCAUCGUCUUAUGUUAGCUUUCUUUAAUAUGAUUUCAAACAAACGUAAACCCACUUGAACACAAGUUGAAAACAAGAGCAAAUCUUUUCGAAGGGAUCCACAAUUUAAGCCAAUCUAGCUAAACUAUGAACUGGCUGCAUUAUCUUCCUUCCGUUAUUUACACCUAUACAGCAGGACACCGAUACCCUACUCCAUUGGGGAGAAGCUCUAAGCACCACUAAACAUGCGAGUCGAAAGACUUUCGCGUCGGUCCAACCAUCCUCCCUCCCCCUCUUCUCCUUCUUCAGUAUCGUAUGUUCUUUUUCAUCCCUCUCUAUGUCUCUCCGUCUUUUCAUUUGUGGGCUUCCUCGUCAUUUUCUCACUCUUUCUUUCUCGGAAGACGCUGCCAUUGCAUUUCAUCUCAUCUCAUUUGAUUUUUAAUUUCCUUUCUGUUGCCUCAAUUUCUCGGAGGCAAGUUGGUCGGAAGUGGGAACCAAGUCCUGGCCAUCGUUAAAGCCACCAAAGAAGGCUCGGAAGGUUAAAAAGUGGGCCCGAAACUUCACCUUUAUUAUCGUUCGUCAGUUCUGUCUCACCAUUCACAUCACGCAAAUUCCCAAAUGCACCCAUCCACCAUUGUCAUGCAUCACAUAGAUCAUAGGGCAUCAUGGUUUCACUGAUGCAGCCUCGCUAGCCCCAUGUCAUUAUCAAAUAAAGAAGCAGCCGUUCCCUAAACUUAAUAUAUGUAAAUCAGAUCAUCAUUAACCAUUGAUCAUAUGCGUCCGAACCAUUAUGCCACGUGACACGAAAGCCCGAUGCACUGACAACUGUAAAAUUUUUGUAGUUGAUUGUUCAGCAAGUGUCCAAAAACACUUGUCAACAAAACCGUUUUUAAUUGAUGAUCAGAAAGAAAAAAACGAUUACUUUCUCUUCAAUUGUGUUGUUGUCACCCAGACGUGCUCUCUCAAUCGGAUUAGACUAGAUGGAAAAAAAAACCAGGUGGCUAUAGAUCGAACUAAAUUGCAGACCUUCAAGCUUCAAUUUGUUUUUUUCCCCUUUUUGCCAAGCAACUAUGAUUAUAUUCAUAGCAAAGGCUCCUUGUCUCAUUUGGUCCAUGGGUAAAAAAAAAAUAUGCUUAUUGUUUUGUCUUGGGAAGAGAAAAACUACCUAACUUCAAUAUGCCCACCACCCAUUCAAAUAGGUGGAAUUUGGUAUAUACUUACGCAUACCCUAUUAUUAUAUUGUGCAUAAAUAUUACAUUAGUGGGUACACAAAUAACCGAAUGGCUCAUUUAUAGAUUUUGCUAUGGCAUUGCAUCAUGACAAAUGAUCGAUGUGGGGAGCACACUCUUAAGAUGGGGAGGUGGACUAAAUGAAUUAUGUGAAAGUUUGGUUUAGACACCACUUGAAAGCUAAAUACAAAAAGAAAAAAAUAUUCACAAAUAGUUCAUGGGUUUCAAGAUCAAAUAAAAUAUGAAAUUUCCAUGCUACAAAUUCAAAUAAGAUAUGCUUAUGUUAAUUAGGAGAACAAUGGAAGUAACUAACUACGAUCCAUCCACCACCUAAAUUUUCAUUAAACAUGGACAAAUGAAUAAAACAAUUCAAUAAGUUUAAUUAAUUAUGCCCUAUAAAAACAAGGUGUCAAAAGAUUUUUGUUUAUAGAGAAAUUACAAGUUCUUGUUGAAAUGCAUUUCUAUUCUAGAGAUGGUGCAUUCUCUUUAGGACAAAGUGCACCCUUUUCACAAUUAGUUGAAAAAGGUAGAGUGCGUGCGUUUUGCUCUUAUUCAGGUGAAGCGCACAUUCCUCAAAGGUCAAGUACAUGCUUUCUAGGUAUUUGAAACAGGGCAUGUAAUUGUUUGUGUUCCCAGGUCUUGGAAAAGUCAACAAAGGGAGCAAUUGCUUCGUGUCUGAAUUUACGUUGAAGUUUCCUACUAGUCUUCGUCGACUCGACGGUUAGAAAAGAUCCAUGGAAAAAUUGCCUUCUUCCUUUCUAGAAGCACUAAUGGUUAAAUAAUUGACACACAAAGAAGAAUUGUAUGCAUGUGUAAUUCGAAUCUUUCAUUAGGCAAGAUACAAAAUACUUUAUUAUCAAUUAGAUAUUUCAACCAAGCUUUAAUCCAAUUCUUGCCUAACUCUUAAAAAUAGUAGGGUUCUAUGAAUUUAGAAUUUAUCAAGGUAAGGGAGCUUUCUCGCUAUCAAGAGAAAAAAAAAAUCCAUGUUAGCAAAUAAUUUUUUUUCUAUGGAAAAUCAUUAAAUAUAAGUGUAAUUAAGGAUAACCUUUUUGUGGCCUUUUCCGUGGAAAAUUGCCAACUGUCAUUGUUUUAUGCCCGAAUUUUCUUGUUAGGAGAAGCUUCACGCUAACCAUUGAAAUCACGUGGCAACUUUUGAAGAACUUCCUGAUUAGGUACGUGAAUUACAUACGCCAAAUCUUUGACUUAAUGGCUCUUUCUCCAUUGUGCUAAACUUACUGGGCCCGAAAAAGAAGAAGAAACCGUGACAAAUUUGCACAUAGUCUAAUGUACAUUCAUUGAUGAGGGCGCAAGCAUCGUAGUUGACACACAAACACACUACAUAUUUCUAAUGUUGAACCAUCCUCAAUGAGAGGGUUUAAGUCGAGCACAUACGUGUCAGAAUUUCGACAUCUCUUAAUCUUGGAGCAGAUAAGUAAGCUCCCGUUUCCAUCUUCUGGAGCUUAUCUUGGGGAGGUUGUAGUGGCUUAUUUUGUGCCACCGUUGUCUAAUCUCAUCGCUGGUGGACAUGAUCAAAACAAGUCUUUACUUCUCCCACUUCAGUCUUGACUUGAGACACUUCAAACUGAACAUUUGACACCGUUGUGGUCAAAUGUUUUAAGUACCUCACUUAGGGCAAAAGCAUUUUUUGUUUGCCAAAUUAGAACAAACUCUGCGAGGGUGAUCCUUCUGGAGUUUCGGGCUGGAUCGACUCUAGUUAGGUUUCAGACCUUUAGGCGAUGCUCAUAUCAAAUCGUGUUUAUAAAUUCUUCCAAGGAAGAAAAAUUUUAUGGUUGAAACGUGCAAAUACUAAGCAAGUCUAAUGGUUAAAAUGCCCCUUAUGCUGUAAAACCACAGAGACUAAGGACGUUAGCAGAAUAAUAACUUACCGAAUCUAAUCAUUUAGCAAAUAUUAAACACCCAUUGAAAAUGAAUCUUAAUGCAAAACCAACCUUUCAUGUAAAUUUUAGAUUACGUGCCUUAAACUAAGAUUAACUUGCAAAAUGUCAUGCCACAAUUUCCAAAAGAAUAAUUAUCAACAAGGUCAUUAACCUAUUAUACAUAUGUCAUUUCAGUCAAUAACCUUUCAAUUUAAUCAAAUUUAAUCAUAAACCUUUUAAGAAAUUAUCAAUAUAGUCAUUUCAGCUAAUUUUACGCAAAAAAUUAUUAAUGGGGAUACUAGCCAUCUUACAUGGCACAGGUAGUGCUAAUAUAAAUAAUUUUUUAUAAUUUUAAAAAAAUGUGAAUUUUUUAUAUUUUUCAUAAUUUUCGCCACACCCCUCUAGCCAACGAGGGCUCACAGGCCUUCUUUUAGUGGCCGUUGCUGGUCACAAUGAAAAAACAGAACAGAAAAUUUAUACAUCGGCAGGUUGGUUAGUGUUUAUUUCCACCGGGCAAUGACGCCAUCUCGUUUUCUCGGCGACUGCAGGUCAGCUCGCCGCUCGCCGCCGGCGACCUCGAAGAGCAGCAGUUGGCGAUUUUCGUCGACGGAUCUGGUCAUCGUUCAAAGUCGGCCUCGAUGGAGCUUGAUAUCUCGGGAUUCGAUACGCCUUCUCCAAGAAAGUGACGGUCGAUCCGGCCUUCACCUCCGUCGCAGUGCGCCACCAUCGUCACCGGCUGCGCAACGGAGGUCAGGCUCUCUCUGGCUUUAUCUAUCUGGCGAGUUGUCCACCGGCAUUGACAGAGCUCUCGCGAAUGAUUCGGUCGAGCUAGAGUUUACUCUCUCUCUCUCUCUCUCUCUCUCUCUCUCCCUCUCCCUCCAGAGCGGCUCCCGAAAAGCUCCGUCACCACCUCUCCAUAUCUGUCCUUCACCAUCAACGACUCCAGCUCGCCAGUAGGAUCUUCGCAAGAUACCUCGGAGGCGAAGAAGGAUUCAGAAGCGGUUUCAUGUUCAUCUUUGCUUUUCACUGGAAUCAACAGACCCUCGGACUCGGCCAGUCGGGGACCGACGAAGCUCAAUUUGGCACAUCGAAACUCGGAUAUUCACCAUCGUGCACGAUCGAGACUCUUAAUCUCUGAUCAUCUCAGGAUUCUGAUCCAUCGUUUCCUACUUCAUCGCCGAUAAUCAGUUUGCCGAAUAUUCCCCUGAGAAGCACGCGAUGCAGAGGAAGGACUAAGAAGCUGAUGACACGAGAGAAAGCGGAGCCGUGAAAUAGAGCAGUCGCUCGCCAUCGUCCAACGCAGCUUGACCGUCAGGCUUUAAUGCUCGUGGGCGGACGCAGCGAUUGCGAGUUCAGGCGAUGACGAAAUCCAUCUGCUAACAGCCGCACUUACCCAGGUCAUUUUCGGCUACUGCAUUGCAAAAUUCAACCAUCAAAUUUCGACACUAGAGAAAAUGCAAGGAGAGAAUCGGAUGAAUUCCAGGCGAUCGAUCCUGCAGGUUUAGCUAAUGAGAGAGAGGCCCGAUGCCAGUUAGAACAGCUCCUAAGCUUGCCAUCCGGAAAUGCCGAACUCGGGAAGGUUUUUACUCUGAAAUCAAGAAAGGAGGGUCCUAAAUAUGUGCACAUUGUUCUUGCUUCUUCGUAUCAGAUCGGCUCUCACUUCUAAACUCAAGUAGGAACUAAUGCUUUCUUAAGAUACUGCACAAAUUAGAAGUUUAUGGGCUGCAUUUUACAUUAAAUCAAAGUACAUGAGGAUUUAUGUUAUUAUCUCUAUUAAAAACGUGAUUGAUCGAUACAAAAAAUUCAUUUUAUUCUGGCCACAUCGUGCAAACGGACCGGCUUGGCUAAAAGAUGUAGACUACAAAAAUUGAGAGUUUGGCCCAAGGGCUUCCUUAUAAGAUGGUGCAGGAGAUGAAUGACACCAAGAAAGGCCCUCAAAGAAUGGAAUGACACUUUCAUUCUAGUCGGAUGGUCUUUUGCAUUUGCAUUCUUACAACUACAACACCCUAAGAAAAACUAUAUGGAGGUCAGUACAAAUUACAAGUUUUGCCUGUUGCAACAGUUUAAGAUAAGUUACUAUGUUAAUGUGAUCACGGUAUGAAGUCUAGAGCUAAACUUACACUAAUAACUACAGGUAGAUUACUCCAGGAUCAGUCAAAUUACAAUGCUGGAUUCAUAUUACCAGGUACAAGAACUAUAAGGUAUGACCUUUAAGGAAAAUUAUAAUAUAAGGAGUAACAUCUCUUAAGACGGAGUCAUUUACAUUUAGUGGAAGUAAUUUAAUUUACCUUUUGAGUAAUUUAGCUUGAAAGUAAAGUUGGCUAUGCAGUAUAAAGUUCAUAAAUUAUAUUUUGUGCUCAUAAAUUAGCUUCUUAUACCUUAACGCUCAGUAACUUGCUAUAGCAGAUCAUUUCAUAUAUUCAUUGCAUACAACAAGGGAUACAGUCCCGAACUUUCCUAUCAUUGCAUAUUCAUUAUCAACAAAGUGCAACUUCGGACAAUACGGGCCUCUGAGACUUCUUAAAUUGGUUUCGAUCCUCAAGAGCAUCAAUCCUCCUUGACAAUGAACUGAAUAAAGACCGAAAUAUGUAAGUUUUGAACCUUGAUAUCGAGCUCUUCAUUGCAUUAACGCUUCUGUGAUCCCCCUCAACAUGUAGAUGCAACAUGGGAGAAGCAGGUUCUAACCAAACAACUCCCUUUACGUUUUCACUUCUUGCCUCGCGCUGCUCCUCCGUAACAUGCAGGAGAAACAGAAUGGACUGAUGGGAUCUACUCCCGUCACUACAGGCAUGAACUCAGAUCCCGCUUAGUGCACGAACGUCCCAUCAACUCAUAACUGGAGGCCAUGCUAGGGACGACCUUUCCAGUUUCUCUCCAUUAUUCUUCUCACCAGGGAAACUUGCUUCCCAACUGCGGAGACGAACGCUUUGCCUUUCCCUCCAGCACCUCUCUCUGUGGCGGACAUAUUUGCUCGGAUCAUGUGGGAAGUCGAAGAGAAUAACAUGGUCCACUCCAGUAAAGUCGAUUCCUUGUAACGACCUGUCAUAUGGUUGAAAAAUCAUCAGGAUCUUGCAAAUACCUAAGGAAAGAUGAGAGUGACAUGUCUUAGGUAAAUUCAUGUGUUUCCAGUGACCCUGCUCUGCAUUCCGUUUGACUGUGUCGCAAACAGUGCCGUUAAAAUCACCAGGUGCUGUUAAGAGACUCAGGACCCACAGUGCCUCAGGCACUAGGCUGAACAAUGAGAGGUGCCAAGUACAAAGUGGGGAUUAAUCCAUCAACAAACAAAUUAUUAGGUCUUUCAUACUUAGAAUCACAAGUUAUUCGAGGUCUGCAUCGUAGCACAAAUUGCACUGGUGCAAAGAUCUUAACCUAGACAAAUCUUUUCUGAGGCAAUGCCUCAGAGGAGGAGCACCUCAUCUCAGGUGCUUACCUUAAAUGAAGAAACCUUGCCAUUACUAUUUUCAUCUAAUUCUUGUUGAGACUGACUCCAUUAUUAAAUGUGCAAGCUUGAACUGAGAACUGAAGGCCUGGGUCUAGGCAGGUUAUGCACGGUUUAACUUAAGGCUUACUUUUAGGGAUCAAGCUCCGCGGCAGAGCAGAUCUAUUUCUAGAAGCAUAGUUUGAUUGAUAUCGCACUAUGCAACUAUACAUACCUGUCGGUGCAAACCAAAAACAAGGAGACAUCUUUAGAUGGAGAAGCAGCAAACUCUUUCAUAUUUGCUUGCCGCAACUCCUGUGAAACAGCAGCAUGAAAAGGUAGAACUUGUGUAUCAGCGCCUUUUCUGUCAAUGCGCUUCAAUGCAUUUUCAACAAUUCCAAGCAGCCUUUACUGAAAGCUCAACAUAUCUUGUUAUAGAAAACAAUCGUUUUGGUUACUGGGCUUUCUUCCACAAGCUGAAUAAAAGCAAACUUCUUAUUCAGGAAUGUAGUAUCUGGAGUCUUUUCACUGUCUUCCUCUCCACUACAAUCUAUGAGAAACUGGGCAUGAUAUGUAACUCUUAAAUUCUCCCCUAUUACAAUGGUAUUUCGUUAGUUUUCUUCUUAACAGGAAAAGAAGAGGAAAAGCACUGGUUAGCUACCACAGCAAAUUUAUGCAACAUGUUCAUCAAGGGGAAGGACAAAGCAAUUUGAUGUAACAGAAGAUUACUGUUCAACCCGCAUGAGAAAGCUCCUAGCCUAUCUAGGAUUAAUGUUGCAAAAAUAAUCCUUCCCCAGUAUAUGCAACCUAAAUUAGUUUGUACAAUACCUCUAUACAAAGUUAAAUUCUGAGAAUCAAUGAGCUGGCAAAAUGAAUAGAAACAAUACUAAGGACAACUGCAAAAAUUCUUCUGCAAAUUGAGGAAAGAAGAAACAGAUAGGACCCUAAUAUAAUCCUUAAUCAUCUCAGCACAAUCGAUGAUAGGACCCUAACAUAAUCCUCAAUCAUCUCAGCACAAUCAAUGAAAGAGACUUCUCCUGAUUUUAUUUCUCUUCACCUCUAAGCAGAUUAAAAGACUUACAGAAUGCUGGUGGCACCUUUAGAUGGUAUAGACUGCUUUUGGCCAAAAGAAUACUAUGGACUACUAAUACGCAUGUGCUAAGAGACAUUCAAGGACAAAUUUUUAUUCCACUCUUCAUCCACUUUCCAUCUUCCCCCAUCAAUAUGUGGAAACAAUCCACCCCCAAAACCAAAGCAUCAACGUAAAACCAUGCUCCAUCACUUUUAGGGAGCAUAACCAACAGCUUAGUAUGAGUAAUAUAUUGUCCAAAAGCAUCCAAAAAAAUGUACAGACACGGACGUGAAUCCUUUUGUGCCUAAAUUAGAUAAUAGUAAUGUAUACAUUGGCAAAUAAUAGAAAGGGGAAUAAUACAGCUUUAGACCAACCUUUUUGAGGUGAGGGCUUGUCCGAUGAUCACAGUCGGGAGGAAUUUCAACUAUUUUGUUAUAUAUAUCUACCGGCAAUGUGGCUGUCCCAAACAGAUACUGGGUGGCUACAGGUGAAGAAUUGAUUAUGCUUUGAAACGCUGCUUCGAACUCCUCAUCAUUGCAGAGAAUAUCCACCUCAUCCAAAAUCACGCUGCAGCGUGAAGCCAUAGAU